This 285-nucleotide long non-coding RNA is filed under the name Mytilus galloprovincialis (Mediterranean mussel). Lineage: Eukaryota; Metazoa; Mollusca; Bivalvia; Mytilida; Mytilidae. The record is from RNAcentral.
GGUCUACAUUAAUGUUUUCAGAUGAUGAUUAUUACUUGCAGAAAUUUUCAAUACUUUCUUGUAUUUAUGCUAAUGGCACGGUGUUAAGUUGUUGAACAUUCUUUCCAUGGAAAUGUUUUUUGACAUUCGGAGAAAAUCUGAAUUUUACAAUUUGUAAUUGCCAGUUAAGUGUUGGUUGCCGUUUUUAAUUUCAAAUUUUAUUAUUACACACACAUCAAUAUUUAUUUCCCCUUCAAAUGCCAGUUUUUUAUCUAUAUAUUUAAUUGCUUCUCGUUAUUACCAAAU